This is an unclassified non-coding RNA of Pongo abelii (Sumatran orangutan), 298 nucleotides long. It matches the Rfam family "Metazoan signal recognition particle RNA". Rfam says of the family: The signal recognition particle (SRP) is a universally conserved ribonucleoprotein. It is involved in the co-translational targeting of proteins to membranes. The eukaryotic SRP consists of a 300-nucleotide 7S RNA and six proteins: SRPs 72, 68, 54, 19, 14, and 9. The record is from Ensembl. NCBI's taxonomy places the organism in Eukaryota, Metazoa, Chordata, Mammalia, Primates, Hominidae.
GCUGGGUGCAGUGAUGCCCACCUGUAGUCCCAGCUACUCGGGAGGCUGAGGCAGGAGGAUCGGUUGAGCCCUGGAGUUCUGGGCUGUAGUGCGCUAUACCCAUCUGGUUCUGCACCAAGUUUGGCAUCAACGUGGUGACCUCCUGGGAGUGGGGACCACCAGGUGGCCUAAGGAGGGGUGAACUGUCCCAGGUCAGAAACAGAGCAGGUCAAAACUCACAUGCUGAAAAGUAGUAGGAUCACACCUGUGAAUAGCCACUGUACUCCAGCCUGGGCAACACAGCAAGACCCUCUCUCUU